This 392-nucleotide ribosomal RNA is filed under the name uncultured organism. RNAcentral's name for it is "bacterial SSU rRNA". It matches the Rfam family "Bacterial small subunit ribosomal RNA", at positions 45 to 433 of the family's 1533-position model. The record is from RNAcentral.
UGGAUUAGGCAUGCAAGUCGCGCGAUUCCGCAAGGAAUAGCGGCAAACGGGUUAGUAACACGUGAGUAAUCUUCCUUAAAGUCAGGCAUAGCAUCCUGAAAAGGGUGGUAAUUCCUGAUAGCACUUAAAAUACACAUGUAUUUAAAGUUAAAGACUGGGACCGUAAGGCCAGUCGCUUUUUGAUGAGCUCGCGUCCUAUCAGCUAGUUGGUGAGGUAAUGGCUCACCAAGGCUUAUGACGGGUAGCUGGUCUGAGAGGACGAUCAGCAACACUGGGACUGAGACACUGCCCAGACUCCUACGGGAGGCUGCAGUCGAGAAUCUUUAGCAAUGGACGAAAGUCUGACUAUGCGACGCCGCGUGCAGGAUGAAGGUUUUCGGAUCGUAAACUGC